RNAcentral lists this long non-coding RNA (283 nucleotides) under Trifolium pratense (red clover). Its description in RNAcentral is "long non-coding RNA (TPRA_LNC008385)". Lineage: Eukaryota; Viridiplantae; Streptophyta; Magnoliopsida; Fabales; Fabaceae. The record is from RNAcentral.
UUGUUUAUUCACAUUCUUUGUUGAAUACUUUUGAACCUGUUUGUUCUUUGGAUGUUUUGAAGUUUGUGGUGAUCAAUAUGCGCUACCAGUUUAAGAGAGGCUAAUAAGAAUGUUAGUUCAUAGUUUAUUAAGUAUCAAAUUUCUCUCUUAAAAAAAAAGAUCAAAUGUCUAGUUAUUUUCAUAUUUUUAGUGAUCAAAGUAUAAAUAAAAUGAUUGUAUCAUUUUCUCUACCUUUCAACAGAGAAAUUUAUUCGACCCAAAAUAACUGUAAUUUAUAAAUAUU